This 1978-nucleotide ribosomal RNA is filed under the name human oral metagenome. RNAcentral describes it as "bacterial LSU rRNA". It matches the Rfam family "Bacterial large subunit ribosomal RNA", at positions 1 to 1979 of the family's 2925-position model. The record is from RNAcentral.
UAAAAUAAUUAAGGGCACACAAAGGAUGCCUAGGUAGUAAGAGCCGAUGAAGGACGUGGUAAGCUGCGAUAAGCCUAGAUAAGUUGCAAUCGAACGUAAGAGUCUAGGAUUUCCGAAUGGAGCAAUCUAUUAAGAUGGAGUCUUAAUACGAAAGAGGGAACCGCGUGAACUGAAACAUCUAAGUAACGCGAGGAAAAGAAAGUAAAAACGAUACCCAAAGUAGCGGCGAGCGAACUGGGUCAAGCCUAAACCUUAAAUAUGUCAAGGAUACAGCCGUUGUAUUUAAGGGGUAGAGGGACAAAGUAGUGAAGAACUGUAAGAUAUUCAAUAUAGUGUAUUGAUGAAUUAGAAUUGUAUGGAAAGAUAAACCGUAGAAGGUGAGAGUCCUGUAUAAGUAAAUCCUUACACAUAUAACUUUGCUCCCAAGUAACAUGGAACACGAGGAAUUCUGUGUGAAUCAGUGAGGACCAAAUCUCAUAAGGCUAAAUACUCUUACUAACCGAUAGCGCAUAGUACCGUGAGGGAAAGGUGAAAAGAACCCCUGGAGGGGAGUGAAAUAGAACCUGAAAUUGUGUGCUUACAAGCGGUCAGAGCCCAUUUGGGUGAUGGCGUGCCUUUUGGAGAAUGAUCCUGCGAGUUACGUUAAACGGCGAGGUUAAGUAUAACGGAGCCGAAGGGAAACCAAGUCUUAAUAGGGCGAUUUAGUCGUUUGGCGUAGACGCGAAACCUGGUGAUCUAAACCUGUCCAGGAUGAAGCUGUGGUAAGACACAGUGGAGGUCCUAACCCACCGCCGUUGAAAAGUUGGGGGAUGAGGUAGGUUUAGGGGUGAAAAGCCAAUCGAACCAGGAGAUAGCUCGUUCUCUCCGAAAUGCAUCUAGGUGCAGCCUUGAGUGUUCAAUUAUGGGGGUAGAGCACUGAAUGAUCUAGGGGGCAUAUUGCUUACUGAAAUCAAUCAAACUCCGAAUACCAUAAUUUAUAGCUCAGGAGUGAGACUAUGGGAGUUAACUUCCAUUGUCAAAAGGGAAACAACCCAGACCACCAGCUAAGGUCCCUAAUUAUAACUAAGUGGGAAAGGAGGUGGAGAUUCACAAACAACUAGGAGGUUGGCUUAGAAGCAGCCAUACCUUUAAAGAGUGCGUAAUAGCUCACUAGUCGAGAGUCUCUGCGCCGACAAUGUAACGGGGCUAAGUUAUAAACCGAAGCUGUGGAAUCCUUUUGGAUUGGUAGGAGAGCGUUCUGUAGGCCGUUGAAGAAGAAGGGUAACCGACUUUGGAGGUAUCAGAAGUGAGAAUGCAGGAAUAAGUAGCGAGAAAGGGGGCGAGAAUCCCCCUCGCCGGAAGACCAAGGUUUUCAGGGUAAAGCUUGUCUUCCCUGAGUAAGCCGGGACCUAAGCCCAGGCUAUAAUGCGUAGGCGAAUGGAAAACAGAUUAAUAUUUCUGUGCCAGUCAUGUAUUGUGAUGGAGGGACGCAGAAGGGUAUGCGCGCGGACGAACGGAAGUGUCCGUAGAAGUAUGUAGGGUGACUUAGUAGGUAAAUCCAUUAAGUUAAAUCUGAGGUAUGAUAUACAGUCGUAAGAUGAAUGCGCAAAUCCCACGCUGCCAAGAAAAGCUUCUAACGUUAAUAUAUGACUGCCCGUACUGUAAACCGACACAGGUGGUCAGGAUGAGAAAUCUAAGGCGGACAGGCUAACUCUCGUUAAGGAACUCUGCAAAAUAACCUCGUAACUUCGGGAGAAGAGGAGCCCUUGUGUGUGAGUAUACAUGCGAUACAAAGCGCACGAGGGUCGCAGUGAAGAGGCUCAAGCAACUGUUUAACAAAAACACAGGUCUAUGCUAAGCUGUAAGGCGAUGUAUAUGGGCUGACACCUGCCCAGUGCUGGAAGGUUAAGAGGAGGAGUGAGAGCUCCGAAUUGAAGCCCCAGUGAACGGCGGCCGUAACUAUAACGGUCCUAAGGUAGCGAAAUUCCUUGUCGGGUAA